RNAcentral lists this ribosomal RNA (455 nucleotides) under uncultured organism. Its description in RNAcentral is "bacterial SSU rRNA". It matches the Rfam family "Bacterial small subunit ribosomal RNA", at positions 346 to 794 of the family's 1533-position model. The record is from RNAcentral.
GUGCAGCAGGCGAGAAUUUUUCUCAAUGGGGGCAACCCUGAAGGAGCGACGCCGCGUGGAGGAUGAAGGCUUUCGGGUUGUAAACUCCUGUCAUUUGAGAACAAGUGCCAACAAGUAACUACUGUUGGCUUGAUAGUAUCAGAAGAGGAAGGGACGGCUAACUCUGUGCCAGCAGCCGCGGUAAUACAGAGGUCCCAAGCGUUGUUCGGAUUCAUUGGGCGUAAAGGGUGCGUAGGUGGCGUGGUAAGUCGGGUGUGAAAUUUCGGAGCUUAACUCCGAAACUGCAUUCGAUACUGCCGUGCUUGAGGACUGGAGAGGAGACUGGAAUUUACGGUGUAGCAGUGAAAUGCGUAGAGAUCGUAAGGAAGACCAGUGGCGAAGGCGGGUCUCUGGACAGUUCCUGACACUGAGGCACGAAGGCUAGGGGAGCAAACGGGAUUAGAUACCCGGGUAGU